AGUCACUGACAUUAGACUACCCCGUACGUCCCGGGUGUAAACGCUGCAGACUUGGUGUUGGAGCCCUUUGGGGGCAUUCAGUGCCGGAGAGAAGUUGUUAAGUCUGCUACUUGGGGAGUACGUCCGCAAGGAUGAAACUUAAAGGAAUUGGCGGGGGAGCACCGCAACGGGAGGAGCGUGCGGUUUAAUUGGAUUCAACACCGUAAAACUCACCAGGGAAGACUGUUACAUGAAGGCCGAGAUGAAGACUCUGCUAGAUUUUCAG
This 265-nucleotide ribosomal RNA is filed under the name uncultured archaeon. RNAcentral describes it as "partial 16S ribosomal RNA". It matches the Rfam family "Archaeal small subunit ribosomal RNA", at positions 718 to 982 of the family's 1478-position model. The record is from RNAcentral.